GAAUAUGUGUAAUCGUUGGCUUAGGAGUUAAACCCUAAUGUAGGAUUUUAUCAAAUGGCAAAACAGAGCUCAAAAUUUCCAUAAAAACACUGGCCGAUAUUCUCAAAAAACCAUUCUUCCUCUAUUGUUCUUCUUCAUGACCUGAAGAAGUUUGUUUGGUGAUAAACCCCUGAAUCAGGUUAGCAACCCCAAUCAACACGGUGUAUUUGACAUAACGUUGGUCGCUGAGCUAGCUUUAAUUCCCAGGGAUAUUCUACAGGGCUAGUGUUCAUGUAUGGACAUCGUCAGGUUCGUAGAAAACCAACGUUCCUUCAAUAUUUUGUAAGCUUUUCAUCUACACGUCUUUAAGGAUCAGGGGGAUGAUGACGAUGAAAACAAUUAGUGCAGUUAAACUCAGCCUUGUCCUUGUCAAAUGACCCCUGAAUAUUCUCUUUUUUCUCAACGCAAAACAAAUCAGGAAGAUCAUCCUCCAUGAACUUAUCUAGCUCUUCUGAUCAAUCAGAGGGGUCCAGUGCUGUUUUCAAGGUGCACAAGUCUCCUUUGCAGAUCAUCAUGCAAUGUUUUGGAAGUGACCGACACAUCUCCGGCCAUUUGAUUACCAACUCAGUUCCACCCUUUGAAGCUUUACCAGGCAAGCGUUGGUUUAGUUACUGAUUAGUUAUGGGUUUUUGGGGUUAUGAUCCCCCAUCAGCGUCCCAUCAUGCUACCGUGUAAAAGCUUAAAUGCUCUAGUUUUCCUUUUGUGUGCCAGAUUUAGUUCACAAAAGAUGUCUUGAUACCCAAGUUUCUUAGUUCCCAGCAUAAUCAAAAGGGUGUGAGAUGGAUUCGUUAACUCAUUUGCCUAAACUACAUUAGAAAAUGUGGACAGACGGUGAAUGGACGAUGGCAUGUCUACGGUAACAGUUGCAGAGAAUAAAGUAGCCCCCCCUAUCUGGGCUAAAAUUGCUGCAUAAAGGAUUUUGAGACUUUUGCAGGCAUCCGAUACGCUCACCAAAAGCAAAGCUUCACAUUUUAGAUGGUAUCAAUGCAAUUGCAUAAUGCCAUGGUACGAAAAUCAGCUUGGAAACAAGUACACGCCAGAAUGCUUGCAAACAUGAAUAAAGAUGCCAACGG
Molecule: long non-coding RNA, 1112 nt
Organism: Theobroma umbraticum
Lineage: Eukaryota; Viridiplantae; Streptophyta; Magnoliopsida; Malvales; Malvaceae
Source: RefSeq, a predicted model, not a curated record